Molecule: non-coding RNA, 45 nt
Filed under: Schistosoma mansoni
Lineage: Eukaryota; Metazoa; Platyhelminthes; Trematoda; Strigeidida; Schistosomatidae
Source: RNAcentral
AUCCAGCUGACGAGUCCGCAAUGGGACGAAACGCGCGUCCUGGAU